AAUAGAUACCCGGGUAGUCCAUGCCGUAAACGUUGGGAACUAGGUGUGGGUCUCAUUCCACGAGAUCCGUGCCGCAGCUAACGCAUUAAGUUCCCCGCCUGGGGAGUACGGCCGCAAGGCUAAAACUCAAAGGAAUUGACGGGGGCCCGCACAAGCGGCGGAGCAUGCGGAUUAAUUCGAUGCAACGCGAAGAACCUUACCAAGGCUUGACAUACACCGGAAACAUCCAGAGAUGGGUGCCCCGCAAGGUCGGUGUACAGGUGGUGCAUGGUUGUCGUCAGCUCGUGUCGUGAGAUGUUGGGUUAAGUCCCGCAACGAGCGCAACCCUCGUUCUAUGUUGCCAGCACGUGAUGGUGGGGACUCAUAGGAGACUGCCGGGGUCAACUCGGAGGAAGUGGGGAUGACGUCAAAGUCAGUCAUGCCCCUUAUGUCUUGGGCUUCACGGCAUGCUACAAUGGCCGGUACAAGGGCGCGAAACCGUGAGUGAGCGAAUCCAAAAACCGGUNUCAGUUCGAUUGGGGUCUGCAACUGACCCC
This 536-nucleotide ribosomal RNA is filed under the name uncultured bacterium. RNAcentral describes it as "bacterial SSU rRNA". It matches the Rfam family "Bacterial small subunit ribosomal RNA", at positions 777 to 1319 of the family's 1533-position model. The record is from RNAcentral.